This 88-nucleotide transfer RNA is filed under the name Acidimicrobiales bacterium. RNAcentral's name for it is "tRNA-Ser". It matches the Rfam family "tRNA". Rfam says of the family: Transfer RNA (tRNA) molecules are approximately 80 nucleotides in length. Their secondary structure includes four short double-helical elements and three loops (D, anti-codon, and T loops). Further hydrogen bonds mediate the characteristic L-shaped molecular structure. tRNAs have two regions of fundamental functional importance: the anti-codon, which is responsible for specific mRNA codon recognition, and the 3' end, to which the tRNAs corresponding amino acid is attached (by aminoacyl-tRNA synthetases). tRNAs cope with the degeneracy of the genetic code in two manners: having more than one tRNA (with a specific anti-codon) for a particular amino acid; and 'wobble' base-pairing, i.e. permitting non-standard base-pairing at the 3rd anti-codon position. RNAcentral also lists the same sequence under 1 other name. Lineage: Bacteria; Bacillati; Actinomycetota; Acidimicrobiia; Acidimicrobiales. The record is from RNAcentral.
GGAGGCGUGCGAGAGCGGCCGAAUCGGCACGACUGGAAAUCGUGUGUGGGGAAACUCACCGUGGGUUCAAAUCCCACCGCCUCCGCCA